RNAcentral lists this ribosomal RNA (467 nucleotides) under uncultured bacterium. RNAcentral's name for it is "partial 16S ribosomal RNA". It matches the Rfam family "Bacterial small subunit ribosomal RNA", at positions 28 to 506 of the family's 1533-position model. The record is from RNAcentral.
GACGAACGCUGGCGGCGUGCUUAACACAUGCAAGUCGAACGGAAAGGCCCUGCUUUUGUGGGGUGCUCGAGUGGCGAACGGGUGAGUAACACGUGAGUAACCUGCCCUUGACUUUGGGAUAACUUCAGGAAACUGGGGCUAAUACCGGAUAGGAGCUCCUGCUGCAUGGUGGGGGUUGGAAAGUUUCGGCGGUUGGGGAUGGACUCGCGGCUUAUCAGCUUGUUGGUGGGGUAGUGGCUUACCAAGGCUUUGACGGGUAGCCGGCCUGAGAGGGUGACCGGCCAAAUGGGGAAGGGGAAACGGCCCAGACCCCUACGGGGGGGAGGGGGGGGGAAUUUUGCAAAAGGGGCGGAAGCCUGAUGCAGCAACGCCGGGGGGGGGAGGACGGCCUUGGGGUGGGAAACCGCUUUCGCCGGGGAAGAAGCGGGGGUGAGGGUAAUGGGGAAAGAAGCACCGGCUAACUACGU